This is a long non-coding RNA of Mus musculus (house mouse), 626 nucleotides long. RefSeq annotates it as predicted gene, 54299. The transcript has 3 exons. The record is from RefSeq and is a predicted model, not a curated record. Lineage: Eukaryota; Metazoa; Chordata; Mammalia; Rodentia; Muridae.
GCUAAUUGAGGUUUAUAGAAGCUGGAAUAAAUAUUUGGUGAGGCUGGAUUUUCCCAUCCUGUUGUCACCCCCAGCUCACCCCAGAGUCCUUUCCCAUCCUUUUUUCCCUUCCUCCUGUCAUUUCUGCUGUCUGUGAUAAACUAUCUGGCUGACAGAGAUAUUGAGUUAAAGCUCUGUUUCUGUGGUAUCCUGGAAGAUCCUAAAACACCCAGCAGCUGAGUCCCCGUCUAGAGCAAAAUGGACUUUUGUUUCUAGUGCUGAAAAAGAUGGGUCACUGUUUUGGGCCUGCCAUACACUCCCACUAUAAUGUGCCAUCAGAGGCCCAAAGCAGCAAAGACAACUCAGCAGAGACCAAACUUCUAAAAUUUUGAGCCAAAGGACCCUUUUAUCCUGAGCCUCAGAAAUGAGCACCACGCUGCUCUUCCUGUGCCGAGCCUCGAGGACGCGCCUCGAAGGAUCCAGGCUCUCAGGCACAAGCUGGCUGUCAGUAGGAAAGCUUUGAUACUGAAACCUUGGAGACUAUGGCAGAUGGGUGAGUUAUCCUUCAAGAGUGGCAGCUGCCUGUGACAUCCAGUUCCUCCUUGCCACCCCAUGAGGUGCGACAGCUACAUUGACCUGAGGGAAGA